UGCAGCCGCGGUAAUUCCAGCCCCAAUAGCGUAUAUUAAAGUUGUUGCAGUUAAAAAGCUCGUAGUUGAAUUUCGGGAUCAAUAUGUCGGUCGUGCCUUCGGUACGUACUGGUAUCAUUGGUCUCUCCUUUCUGACGAACCAUGAUGUCAUUAAUUUGGUGUUAUGGGGAGUUAGGACUGUUACUUUGAAAAAAUUAGAGUGUUUAAAGCAGGCUUUAGCUUGAAUACAUUAGCAUGGAAUAAUGAAAUAGGACGUUCGAACCUAUUUUGUUGGUUUCUAGGAUCAACGUAAUGAUUAAUAGGGAUAGUUGGGGGCAUUAGUAUUCAAUUGUCAGAGGUGAAAUUCUUGGAUUUAUUGAAGACUAGCUACUGCGAAAGCAUUUGCCAAGGAUGUUUUCAUUAAUCAAGAACGAAAGUUAGGGGAUCGAAGACGAUCAGAUACCGUCGUAG
Molecule: ribosomal RNA, 450 nt
Filed under: uncultured Glomeromycotina
Lineage: Eukaryota; Fungi; Glomeromycota
Description: SSU rRNA
Rfam family: Eukaryotic small subunit ribosomal RNA
Source: RNAcentral